This 255-nucleotide ribosomal RNA is filed under the name uncultured bacterium. RNAcentral describes it as "partial 16S ribosomal RNA". It matches the Rfam family "Bacterial small subunit ribosomal RNA", at positions 524 to 776 of the family's 1533-position model. The record is from RNAcentral.
UACGUAGGGUGCAAGCGUUAAUCGGAAUUACUGGGCGUAAAGCGUGCGCAGGCGGUUUUGUAAGUUUGUCGUGAAAGCCCCGGGCUCAACCUGGGAAUUGCGAUGAAGACUGCAAGGCUUGAAUCUGGCAGAGGGGGGUAGAAUUCCACGUGUAGCAGUGAAAUGCGUAGAGAUGAUGGAGGAACACCGAUGGCGAAGGCAGCCCCCUGGGUCAAGAUUGACGCUCGAUGCACGAAAGCGUGGGGAGCAAACAGG